Molecule: long non-coding RNA, 2450 nt
Organism: Gallus gallus (chicken)
Lineage: Eukaryota; Metazoa; Chordata; Aves; Galliformes; Phasianidae
Source: Ensembl
CACAGAAACUAAAGAAAGCAAUCAAAUUCUGCCCUAACAGCUGGGACUUCCCAGCAGAGAAAAUAUCUCUACCUGAAAUAAUAAUAAUUAUAAUAGUUUUCCUACAUUUUACAGACCUUUUAGUUGCUGUUUACUGGACUAGAUCCAGAAGGCUUGUUUGGUCAGUAUGUUUUAUUCUAAUUCAUAGCGUAACAAGGCUGCUCAUCUUUUAAGAAAGAUAAACCUACUUCCUUCACUUUUCCUUGGAAGAAUCCCCUUCAAAUCAUAAUUACAGAAAAAUAUAGUAUAGAAAUAUGAAUAAAUUACACAGGUUUUCAGAACAGAAAAAUUGAAAAGACCUUACAGAUCACCCAGUUCAUUUCCCUGAUGAUAAACGACCGAGAGGUUGUCAUGUAAUAUAAACUCAUGUUAUGUGAAAUAGCAGUUUACUUGAAUAUUCUCCAGUCUAGUACAGAGCAUAAAAAGCCCAACCUCUUUCCAUUAUAUCAUUAGGGAUUUGACUACAGAACUUACCUCUACUGCUGCCAGAAGUACUACAUCUCCACAUUCACAUUUGUAGCAUGAAAGCACAGCAACACAGAAAAGAUAUACAGUCUGACUGCAGAGUUUGAUGGCAGUGUUAUGUCAAAGCCCAACUGUGUACAUAUAUGCGAAGGCAGGGAAAUAAACUAGAGGUACAUACAUACCAGCAGGAUUUGCUGGCUUUAGGAACAUGAAGUAUGGAUCUUCCAAGUAAGAACAACACUUACACAAAAUACACUGUCACAGCAUUAAAAAAAAAAAACAAAACAUCAGGACUAACAAUUCAUUUCACUUGAACUAAGGAGCAGUUUGAAAUAAAAAGCACCAUCAUUUCCCAUGACUAUCAUACUUCCCAAACACCAGGAGACACUGAAAUGAAACUUCUUUCAUUCUGCAGAAAAAAACAUUACUCUGGAAGCAAUCAGUGGUCAGCAGAACAUAAUAGCAGCUGACAUUUCAGGUCAAUAUGAAAGCAGUUUGGAGCCAGCCAUUUUGGAAACACUCCAGUUUGUCACUGCGUUGCUAAUGAAGGCAAUGUUACAACAUGUUUUGUUUAAUAUAAAAAAGUCAGGAUUAGGAUCAUGGGAGAAUUAUUUCCCUUUUAACUUCACCCCCCUCCAACCCUCCUUCCAAAUGCAAUUGUUCUAUUUUUAAAUAAGCUCAUUUGCUCUUAUUGUUUUCGCAUCAAGUUGGCAGCUCACCCAUCUGUCUCCCACUGUGCUUAAAAAGAUGUCAUGAUCCUGCAGUCCCAAACACAGUCCUGAUGCUUCCAGUGAGCUAAAACACAUCUGCAAUGACAGCUUUCUCUUAGGAGUGAAGCUAUUUUUGUAACAGCAACAAACUCAACACAUCCAGGGUACGAGGAUAUUCACCAGUUAACAGCAGGGAAAAAAAAAAGCUUGUAUAGAGAGAUCCUUACCUUCACCACACACCUUGUUUGGGAGAAAUAUCACAUAAAGGUGGCUGACAAACAAGGCUACCUUUAGGACCACCCUUCACCCUCAGUCCUACUGCAAUCUCUGGAGCAGCCUCUCCACUCAAGAAUGGUCCUAUUUGUUUCUCAGAUGUAUCCCAGAAAUGUCAGAUUAAACACAGCUGGAGAAUUACUUUUUUACCCCACGUCAACUAGGAAAGAGGCAGACAGUGAGCAGGUAAUGGAACCAUGCACUGAAGGUAACUUGCCUCAGGAUUGCAAACCCAGUUCUUGCAAGUGACUGAUGGACAACCCAAAUUCCACUCAAAGGACUAACAAUGUUACAGACAAAAUUAAUCUGCCUAUUAUUCUGACUUUAUUAAUCUGACUUUGGUUGCAUAAUAGCAGUGAAAUCCAAGGGAAAGAUGCAGAAACGUACCACACCACCAAUCUAGAUCCCCGGUCAUUAACCCUGCUGCCUUAGGUUUUGGCAGUGUUGGUGAGGACUGGCACUCCUCCAGAAAAUCAGCACUGCUUUUACACAAGCACAAAUGUAGCAUGAGAAGUGAUAAGCUUUCAGACCUGGCACAAUGUCCAGACCAAUUUCUGAUCCUGGAUGUAUGCACAUUGGUUACUUCAGUAGGUUCUUCAUCUUGGGACGCAGUGAAAGAGCCUGAAGACUCCUCAACUUGGUGAAAAAUAGCGAUUGAGUCACUUUGUCACCCUUAGAGAUCUUCCUUGUGAAUCAUGUCAGAGUAGAUGCACGCUUCCCAUAAGUAGGUGCUAAUAUGGUCAUUAAGAUAUUAGAAAUGGCUCCUGAGCAUCCUCUUAUCACCACAACAUACAGGGCCCUCCUAGCUGAUUAGCAGAGGGAGGAGGCUGGAGACCUGCACAGGCUGUGGUGCCAUGGGAAGUUCUACAGGCAAGGAUAUGCCACAGCCUUCCUGCAAAAUCCUCGCUGGCUGAGGAUGCUGAAGGGAGACCUAGGUAUCCCCCAGCAGGCUGGCCUUUCCCU